CAACUUUCAGCAACGGAUCUCUUGGCUCUCGCAUCGAUGAAGAACGCAGCGAAAUGCGAUAAGUAAUGUGAAUUGCAGAAUUCAGUGAAUCAUCAAAUCUUUGAACGCACCUUGCGCUCCUUGGUAUUCCGAGGAGCAUGCCUGUUUGAGUGUCAUUAA
RNAcentral lists this ribosomal RNA (159 nucleotides) under Pholiota squarrosa. RNAcentral describes it as "5.8S ribosomal RNA". It matches the Rfam family "5.8S ribosomal RNA". From Rfam's summary of the family: 5.8S ribosomal RNA (5.8S rRNA) is a component of the large subunit of the eukaryotic ribosome. The record is from RNAcentral. Lineage: Eukaryota; Fungi; Basidiomycota; Agaricomycetes; Agaricales; Strophariaceae.